This is a non-coding RNA of Miniopterus natalensis, 1297 nucleotides long. The record is from RefSeq and is a predicted model, not a curated record. NCBI's taxonomy places the organism in Eukaryota, Metazoa, Chordata, Mammalia, Chiroptera, Miniopteridae.
ACCCGGGACCCUUCAGUCUGCGGGCCAACGCUCUAACCACUUAGCUACACUGGCCAGGGCAAAAGUACUGAGAUUUUCUUACAGCCAGUGGUAACACCUCCAACAGAGGUGGAGCAGAUGUCUGAUGGAUUUACUGAGGAAACAAGAGCUGUAGUCUUCUCAGGGAGCCACAGGACUCACUCUCUGCACUUUUAAUUCUUAGCUGCCAUUGGGGUUUAUUCAUCUCCUUUAAAAAGCAAGUCAUAUUUAUUGAGAAAUUGAGAAAAAAAUUCAGGGACACCUUGGACUGUGGAUUAGGCUCCAGACCACAAUAAAACAGAUUUCGCAAUAAAGUGAGUCACAUGAACACUGGUGUCCCAGUGUGUAUAAAAGUUAUGUUUACACUACACUGUAGUCUGUUAAGUUUUUGAUAGCAUUAUGUCUAAAGUAAAGAAUGUGUAUACCUUAAUUUUAAAAAAUUUAUUGAAAGAAAAUGCUAGCCCUCAUCUGAGCAAGCGCAGUCCUGUUGCCGGUGCAGGGCCUUGCCUUGGUGUUGAUGGCGGUGAGCUGACAAGGGUGGCCUGAAGUGGGGGUAGCCUGGCAGUUUCUUAAAGGGAGACAUUGGAGGUUUUGUGUCAAGUGACUCUUCCUCAUGAACGGUUUCCCUGCAGCAUUUUACCCACAGGACUUUCAGAAUUACAGCCAGUCCUCAGGCCCUGCCCCUGCUCUGCCAGCCAAGUUUGUGACACUCUAAGUCCUUUGUUGUCGCUUCUUCACAGCAUCCUCACCAGAAUCCAGGCAGAGCAGAUUCAGCAUCAUUCUUAAGGGCCCAGGAUUUUCUAAGUGGUCGGUGAGCACUGGCUUCAACUUAGAGUCACAGCUGCAUGAGCCCCUAGCAAGAGCCUGCCUGUCCUGUGGGGCCAGGCCCUGACUUCUCCUCUCAGCUGUGGAAGUCCUGGAUGGCGUCUUCUCCCAGCAGGAGGCUGGUUCGUCUCUACUGAGGCUGUUGAAGAGCCUGCUGUCGAGUGUAGCCUCCUUCAGGAACCAUCUUAGUGGAUCUUCUGGGUAACCUGCUGCAGCUUCUGGCUCAGCACUUGCUGCCUCACCUGCCCUUCUCUGUCAUGGAGAUGGCGUCUCUCCUUCAGCUUCAUGAACCGAGCUCCACCAGCUUCAGGCUUUUCUUCUGCAGCCUCCUCACCUCUCAGCUUUCACAGAGCUGAAGAGUGAGGGCCUUGCUCUGGAUUAGGCUUUGGCUUCAGGGAGUGUUGUGGCUGGUGUGAUCUUCCAUCCAGACCAAUAAAACUCUCCACAUCAGCAA